RNAcentral lists this long non-coding RNA (1257 nucleotides) under Marmota monax (woodchuck). The record is from RNAcentral. Lineage: Eukaryota; Metazoa; Chordata; Mammalia; Rodentia; Sciuridae.
GCCUGGCCAUCCUCAGACCCCAGAAGCCUGCUAAGGAGUAGAAUUACCUGCAAAAGGAUUUGAAGAGAGAAGCCCCUUCCCAACCCAAGAAGCUGAGCUGUGAGAAUUUCAUUCAGAGUGUUUCCUACUAUUUGAUUCUUCCUUCCUCCCUGUCUUGUAUUGUUUUUGUUCUAAACAGUAGCUCCACAAGCCAUGAACCAGAACUUGGGAUCCAUUCUAGAUUUUCCCUGCUUCCCCACAUCAAUGUCAACUCUUAGUUCCUGACAUUGUACAUGAUGUCUAGCUGUUCACCUGUCUCAACCACCUGCACUACUAGGGUUUCUUUAUGCCAUGUCACCACACUGGCAGGGGCUUUCUAACCAGCCCUGUCUCCAGUGUCACAAAGUAUUUCUUCCCAACUGCUUCCUCAGCAAACUUUCUGAAACCAAACUGCUCAGCUUCUUCUUGAGGAAGAAGGUGUCCCAUUCCUACUCCAUGAUCAAGUCCAAGCUCUUCAGUGCAGUCUUCCAAAGUGCAGCACACUUCUGGGACAUCACUGCAACAAAUUCUGUGUACUCUUCCUACAUCCUGCAAACACCCAAGACUGUGCAGUCACAGCACUUGCCAAAUGGCCCUGCUCUGUGACUAUGGAGCCUGGAUGGAAAAUGAGUAGGUCCGCUUCUAUGCUCUUCCACUUGCUUCUCUCCCUGCUCAGCUUACCUCUACCCCACCCCAUCCCUACCUCCAACAGUCCUCCCCUCUUGGAGACUAGGGCGCCUUUGAAAACCUUCCCAUCCUGCUCAAACCAACACGAUCUUUUCUGCCCCUUCAUACCCAGCAAAGUAUUGUAAUUAUUGCUCUGAAUUGUAAAUAUGUACUCCCCUGAACAUAGAGUUUGUGCUUGAUAUCUAUACAUCCUUAUGCCUAGCAUAGCAUUUGGCAUAUAAGAAGUGUUAUGGAUUAAAUUGUGUACCCCCCAUAAUUUUUAGAUUGUGUGACCACAUUUGGACAAUAGACCUGUAGGGAGGUACUUAAGAUAAAGUAAGAUCAUAAGGAUGGGGCCUUAAUUAGGGGGACUAGUGACUCCUUAAUUCAGUAGGACACUAGUAACCUUAUAAGAAGAGGAAUAAAUGCUAGAUCUCUUGAUCUCUGUCUCUGUUUUUCUACACACACACACACACACACACGGAAGAGGAGGCUCACAGAGGCCAUGUGAGGACACAGCAAGAAGACCUCACCAGAAACCAACCCUGCCAGCAUAUUGACCUUGGACUUCCA